RNAcentral lists this ribosomal RNA (1463 nucleotides) under Nostoc edaphicum X. RNAcentral describes it as "bacterial SSU rRNA". It matches the Rfam family "Bacterial small subunit ribosomal RNA". The record is from RNAcentral. Lineage: Bacteria; Bacillati; Cyanobacteriota; Cyanophyceae; Nostocales; Nostocaceae.
GAUGAACGCUGGCGGUAUGCUUAACACAUGCAAGUCGAACGGUGUCUUCGGACACAGUGGCGGACGGGUGAGUAACGCGUGAGAAUCUGGCUUCAGGUCUGGGACAACCACUGGAAACGGUGGCUAAUACCGGAUGUGCCCUUAGGGGUGAAAGAUUAAUUGCCUGAAGAUGAGCUCGCGUCUGAUUAGCUAGUAGGUGUGGUAAAGGCGCACCUAGGCGACGAUCAGUAGCUGGUCUGAGAGGACGAUCAGCCACACUGGGACUGAGACACGGCCCAGACUCCUACGGGAGGCAGCAGUGGGGAAUUUUCCGCAAUGGGCGAAAGCCUGACGGAGCAAUACCGCGUGAGGGAGGAAGGCUCUUGGGUCGUAAACCUCUUUUCUCAGGGAAGAACACAAUGACGGUACCUGAGGAAUAAGCAUCGGCUAACUCCGUGCCAGCAGCCGCGGUAAUACGGAGGAUGCAAGCGUUAUCCGGAAUGAUUGGGCGUAAAGCGUCCGCAGGUGGCUAUGUAAGUCUGCUGUUAAAGAGUCUAGCUCAACUAGAUAAAAGCAGUGGAAACUACAAGGCUAGAGUACGUUCGGGGCAGAGGGAAUUCCUGGUGUAGCGGUGAAAUGCGUAGAGAUCAGGAAGAACACCGGUGGCGAAGGCGCUCUGCUAGGCCGUAACUGACACUGAGGGACGAAAGCUAGGGGAGCGAAUGGGAUUAGAUACCCCAGUAGUCCUAGCCGUAAACGAUGGAUACUAGGCGUGGCUUGUAUCGACCCGAGCCGUGCCGUAGCUAACGCGUUAAGUAUCCCGCCUGGGGAGUACGCCGGCAACGGUGAAACUCAAAGGAAUUGACGGGGGCCCGCACAAGCGGUGGAGUAUGUGGUUUAAUUCGAUGCAACGCGAAGAACCUUACCAAGGCUUGACAUGUCGCGAAUCUUCUUGAAAGGGAAGAGUGCCUUCGGGAGCGCGAACACAGGUGGUGCAUGGCGUCGUCAGCUCGUGUCGUGAGAUGUUGGGUUAAGUCCCGCAACGAGCGCAACCCUCGUUUUUAGUUGCCAGCAUUAAGUUGGGCACUCUAGAGAGACUGCCGGUGACAAACCGGAGGAAGGUGGGGAUGACGUCAAGUCAGCAUGCCCCUUACGCCUUGGGCUACACACGUACUACAAUGCUCCGGACAGAGGGCAGCAAGCAUGCGAAUGCAAGCAAAUCCCGUAAACCGGAGCUCAGUUCAGAUCGCAGGCUGCAACUCGCCUGCGUGAAGGAGGAAUCGCUAGUAAUUGCAGGUCAGCAUACUGCAGUGAAUUCGUUCCCGGGCCUUGUACACACCGCCCGUCACACCAUGGAAGCUGGUAGUGCCCGAAGUCAUUACUCCAACCUUUCGGGGAGGAGGAUGCCUAAGGCAGGACUGGUGACUGGGGUGAAGUCGUAACAAGGUAGCCGUACCGGAAGGUGUGGCUGGAUCACCUCCUUU